CCUACGGGUGGCAGCAGUGGGGAAUUUUGCGCAAUGGGGGAAACCCUGACGCAGCAACGCCGCGUGCGGGACGAAAGCCCUCGGGCUGUAAAACGCUUUCAGCCGGGAAGCCAACGACGGUCACUGCAGAAGAAGCUCCGGCUACCUCCGUGCCAGCAGCCGCGGUAAUACGUAGGGGGCGAGCGUUAUCCGGAUUCGUUGGGCGUGAAGCGCGCGUAGGCGGCCGCCUAAGCGGAACCUCUAACUCCGGGGCCAAACCUCGGGCCGGGUUCCGGACUGGGCGUCUCGAGUGCGGUAGAGGAGAGCGGAAUUCCCGGUGUAGCGGUGGAAUGCGCAGAUAUCGGGAAGAACACCGAUGGCGAAGGCAGCUCUCUGGGCCGUCACUGACGCUGAGGCGCGAAAGCUGGGGGAGCGAACAGGAUUAGAUACCCGUGUAGUC
RNAcentral lists this ribosomal RNA (439 nucleotides) under uncultured bacterium. RNAcentral's name for it is "partial 16S ribosomal RNA". It matches the Rfam family "Bacterial small subunit ribosomal RNA", at positions 338 to 795 of the family's 1533-position model. The record is from RNAcentral.